AGCAGCCGCGGUAAUUCCAGCUCCAAUAGCGUAUAUUAAAGUUGUUGCAGUUAAAAAGCUCGUAGUUGAAUUUCAGGAUUAGUACGUUGGUCGUGCCUUCGGUACGUACUGGUGUUACUGAUUCCUACCUUCUGACGAACCAUCAUGUCAUUAGUUUGGUGUGGUGGGGAAUCAGGACUGUUACUUUGAAAAAAUUAGAGUGUUUAAAGCAGGCUCGCGCUUGAAUACAUUAGCAUGGAAUAAUGAAAUAGGACGUUGACCCUAUUUUGUUGGUUUCUAGGAUUGACGUAAUGAUUAAUAGGGAUAGUUGGGGGCAUUAGUAUUCAAUUGUCAGAGGUGAAAUUCUUGGAUUUAUCGAAGACUAACUACUGCGAAAGCAUUUGCCAAGGAUGUUUUCAUUAAUCAAGAACGAAAGUUAGGGGAUCGAAGACGAUCAGAUACCGUCGUAGCCUUAACCAUAAACUAUGCCGACUAGGGAUCGGAUGAUGUUAUUUUUAAUGACUCA
This 505-nucleotide ribosomal RNA is filed under the name uncultured Glomus. Its description in RNAcentral is "SSU rRNA". It matches the Rfam family "Eukaryotic small subunit ribosomal RNA", at positions 569 to 1078 of the family's 1831-position model. The record is from RNAcentral. Lineage: Eukaryota; Fungi; Glomeromycota; Glomeromycetes; Glomerales; Glomeraceae.